This 276-nucleotide ribosomal RNA is filed under the name uncultured bacterium. Its description in RNAcentral is "partial 16S ribosomal RNA". It matches the Rfam family "Bacterial small subunit ribosomal RNA", at positions 28 to 301 of the family's 1533-position model. The record is from RNAcentral.
GAUGAACGCUAGCGACAGGCUUAACACAUGCAAGUCGAGGGGCAGCACAGGUAGCAAUACCGGGUGGCGACCGGCGCACGGGUGAGUAACGCGUAUGCAACUUGCCUAUCAGAGGGGGAUAACCCGGCGAAAGUCGGACUAAUACCGCAUGAAGCAGGGAUCCCGCAUGGGAAUAUUUGCUAAAGAUUCAUCGCUGAUAGAUAGGCAUGCGUUCCAUUAGGCAGUUGGCGGGGUAACGCCCACCAAACCGACGAUGGAUAGGGGUUCUGAGAGGAA